This 1387-nucleotide ribosomal RNA is filed under the name Cylindrospermopsis raciborskii. RNAcentral describes it as "16S ribosomal RNA". It matches the Rfam family "Bacterial small subunit ribosomal RNA". Lineage: Bacteria; Bacillati; Cyanobacteriota; Cyanophyceae; Nostocales; Aphanizomenonaceae. The record is from RNAcentral.
AGAGUUUGAUCCUGGCUCAGGAUGAACGCUGGCGGUAUGCUUAACACAUGCAAGUCGAACGGGAUGCUUAGGCAUCUAGUGGCGGACGGGUGAGUAACGCGUGAGAAUCUGGCUCCAGGUCGGGGAUAACAGUUGGAAACGACUGCUAAUACCGGAUGUGCCGAGAGGUGAAAGAUUUAUUGCCUGGAGAUGAGCUCGCGUCUGAUUAGCUAGUUGGUGGUGUAAGGGACCACCAAGGCGUCGAUCAGUAGCUGGUCUGAGAGGAUGAUCAGCCACACUGGGACUGAGACACGGCCCAGACUCCUACGGGAGGCAGCAGUGGGGAAUUUUCCGCAAUGGGCGAAAGCCUGACGGAGCAAUACCGCGUGAGGGAGGAAGGCUCUUGGGUCGUAAACCUCUUUUCUCAAGGAAGAAGAAAGUGACGGUACUUGAGGAAUAAGCAUCGGCUAACUCCGUGCCAGCAGCCGCGGUAAUACGGAGGAUGCAAGCGUUAUCCGGAAUGAUUGGGCGUAAAGGGUCUGCAGGUGGAACUGAAAGUCUGCUGUUAAAGAGUUUGGCUUAACCAAAUAAAAGCGGUGGAAACUACAGAACUAGAGUGCGGUAGGGGCAAAAGGAAUUCCUGGUGUAGCGGUGAAAUGCGUAGAUAUCAGGAAGAACACCGGUGGCGAAAGCGUUUUGCUAGACCGUAACUGACACUGAGGGACGAAAGCUAGGGGAGCGAAUGGGAUUAGAUACCCCAGUAGUCCUAGCCGUAAACGAUGGAUACUAGGCGUGGCUUGUAUCGACCCGAGCCGUGCCGGAGCUAACGCGUUAAGUAUCCCGGCUGGGGAGUACGCACGCAAGUGUGAAACUCAAAGGAAUUGACGGGGGCCCGCACAAGCGGUGGAGUAUGUGGUUUAAUUCGAUGCAACGCGAAGAACCUUACCAAGACUUGACAUCCUGCGAAUCCCGGUGAAAGCUGGGAGUGCCUUAGGGAGCGCAGAGACAGGUGGUGCAUGGCUGUCGUCAGCUCGUGUCGUGAGAUGUUGGGUUAAGUCCCGCAACGAGCGCAACCCUCGUUUUUAGUUGCCAGCAUUAAGUUGGGCACUCUAGAGAGACUGCCGGUGACAAACCGGAGGAAGGUGAGGAUGACGUCAAGUCAGCAUGCCCCUUACGUCUUGGGCUACACACGUACUACAAUGCUACGGACAGAGGGCAGCAAGCCAGGGAUGGCAAGCGAAUCCAGAAACCGUAGCUCAGUUCAGAUCGAAGGCUGCAACUCGCCUUCGUGAAGGAGGAAUCGCUAGUAAUUGCAGGUCAGCAUACUGCAGUGAAUUCGUUCCCGGGCCUUGUACACACCGCCCGUCACACCAUGGAAGUUGGUCACGCCCGAAGUCAUUACCCCAAC